CAGAACUUCUGAUUUCUUACAGUGGUCUGCAGGGCACUGCUGUCUUCAUGUCACUUGAACACAAAGCUGAUGGAAAGGGGAAUGCCUAAAGAUCAAAAGCCAAAUCUUUGGUGUUUGUGAGGAAAAAAAAUGCCCAGCAGCCGUCCUGCAGCACAUCAGUGCUUUGUCUGACUGCGGUGUGAAGGUGUUGCUCGGGACCAGGGACACUUGGACUGGUUGGUAAGGCUGUGAUUUCUUUCUACUUUCAUUUAUACAGAGGGAAGAAGCCAUUUCUGCUUAGCUACAGAGAACUGGACUCCUGUAUUGGUUUGUGAUAGUCAAAAUAAUGAGAGAAUCACAGAAUCCCUACAGUUGGAGAAGCACUCUGAGGUCCCCAGGUCCAAUCCCACACAGCCCCACUGUGCCCACUGACUUUGUCCCC
This 421-nucleotide long non-coding RNA is filed under the name Gallus gallus (chicken). Lineage: Eukaryota; Metazoa; Chordata; Aves; Galliformes; Phasianidae. The record is from RNAcentral.